UACAGAGGGUGCGAGCGUUGUUCGGAAUUAUUGGGCGUAAAGCGCAUGUAGGCGGGAUGUUAAGUCGCGUGUGAAAGCCCCAGGCUCAACCUGGGAAGUGCGCGCGAAACUGGCAACCUUGAGUGCUGGAGAGGGUGGCGGAAUUCCCGGUGUAGAGGUGAAAUUCGUAGAUAUCGGGAGGAACACCAGAGGCGAAGGCGGCCACCUGGACAGACACUGACGCUGAGGCGCGAAAGCGUGGGGAGCAAACAGG
Molecule: ribosomal RNA, 253 nt
Filed under: uncultured bacterium
Lineage: Bacteria
Description: partial 16S ribosomal RNA
Rfam family: Bacterial small subunit ribosomal RNA
Source: RNAcentral